Molecule: ribosomal RNA, 442 nt
Filed under: uncultured bacterium
Lineage: Bacteria
Description: partial 16S ribosomal RNA
Rfam family: Bacterial small subunit ribosomal RNA
Source: RNAcentral
CCUACGGGUGGCAGCAGUGGGGAAUAUUGGACAAUGGGGGAAACCCUGAUCCAGCAACGCCGCGUGAAGGAAGAAGGCCCUCGGGUUGUAAACUUCUUUUCUAUAGGACGAAGAAGUGACGGUACUAUAGGAAUAAGCCACGGCUAACUACGUGCCAGCAGCCGCGGUAAUACGUAGGUGGCGAGCGUUAUCCGGAUUUACUGGGUGUAAGGGGCGUGUAGGCGGGAGAGCAAGUCAGAUGUGAAAACUACAGGCUUAACCUGUAGCCUGCAUUUGAAACGGUUCUUCUUGUGGGAUGGAGAGGCAGGCGGAAUUCCUAGUGUAGCGGUGAAAUGCGGAGAUAUUAGGAGGAACACCAGUGGAGAAGGCGGCCUGCUGGACAUUAACGGACGCGGAGGCGCGAAAGCGUGGGGAGCAAACAGGAUUAGAUACCCUAGUAGUC